Molecule: long non-coding RNA, 200 nt
Filed under: Homo sapiens (human)
Lineage: Eukaryota; Metazoa; Chordata; Mammalia; Primates; Hominidae
Description: HSALNT0175368
Source: RNAcentral
CUUGGCCACCCAGGUGUUGAUGAGCUCCAAGUUGGCGUCACUGUUGUUGCUUAGGACUCUGGGGCUGCUGCUGUACAGGGUCCGAGAGGCAUUCACAAAGGUGACACCUUUGGUCGUGAAGCCCUUCAGGGCCUGGUGGACACAGGUGAAGUCCUUGGGGUAAGAGAGGAUGCUCUCCAGGUUUGUUUUGGUGUUCUCCC